RNAcentral lists this long non-coding RNA (265 nucleotides) under Chrysemys picta bellii (western painted turtle). RNAcentral's name for it is "lncRNA (ENSCPBG00000028326.1)". Lineage: Eukaryota; Metazoa; Chordata; Testudines; Emydidae. The record is from RNAcentral.
UCAGAAGGCACAUGUCCUGGGCUAACGAAAUCUUUGGAGAUCAUUCUAUCCAGACUACCUGACACCUGAAAAGAUGGUUUAUGAUCACUGACAUUGUGCCAUCUGACUAGCAAGAGUUGUACUUCAACAAAAAUUUACCAGCCAAGUCUAGCAAAGCCCUUAGCUCUUACCUGACUGUGAAAUGAUUGUCAAUGUUUGUGAUAUUUGGAACAGGAGUGAUAAUUCUUAAUCAAAUUUGAUAGUCUCAGUAUUCUUCCGGUCUCUG